AAGUGGUUGAAAUUAGGCCCAACGGGGCUGUUUCGCUGAGAAUUUAUAGUCGCUCGUAGAACUCAGCCCUGACAGAGUAGGAGUCCUUCCUGCCAAGAUGGAGCCUGGCUCCCCAGCCCAGGGUCUUCACCAGCAGGACACACCUCUCCACCUUUGAUUAGCCUAUCUGUGCAUCUCCACAGGGGACCAUGAAGAUGCUCCUGCUCAUCUCCCAGUAACUGGGGCCUCUCCCUGGAAUCCACAGGCUGUGCGGCCAGGACCUUCUUCCCAUGGACUUCCUUCCACGUGUGAGCUCCCUUCCAGUUCUAACUGGGAAGAGUCACAUAGUCCUGGCUAGCAGCAGAGCCUUGGAACAACACUUCACUGAAGACCCGCCUGAGAUUUGAUCUUUCAGACACUGAAAGGCAGAGAGUCAGAGAGCCACUCUCCAACCACCUGCCAACAGCAAAGUCCCUCUGGUGCUGAGCAGCCUAAGUCCCUGGCUGGUUCUAGAAGGUGGUGGAAGCAGGAGAUAGAAGAAGUCAGAAAGAUAGCCAGAGCAUCAAGCCUCCCAUCCAAGAGUCCAAGAAAACACUAGAGGCUGAGGAACAUGCGAUUGGCCUCCACACUACCCCAAAGCCCUGGCCAGCAGGUCCAGGGCCACAGGCCACCCAGGGGCUGAGCUUCCACCCAGGCGGCCAGGGACAAUGCUAGAACUUGCAAGACACCAGUGGCUCUCCUCACACACCCUCCAGUAGAAGCCACCUCUCCAAACAGCUGGGGCCUCAUCAGACCCACACAGG
This 782-nucleotide long non-coding RNA is filed under the name Heterocephalus glaber (naked mole-rat). Its description in RNAcentral is "lncRNA (ENSHGLG00100037398.1)". Lineage: Eukaryota; Metazoa; Chordata; Mammalia; Rodentia; Bathyergidae. The record is from RNAcentral.